CUUCUCCAGCUACUCGUUUGAGAGCCGGUGGCGUUCCGGAGGUUUCUCCCUCGUUAUCCCCCUUCCUUUCACCUGAGGAGAGGUUCUGACUCUCUCUCUCUCUCUGUCUCUGGCGUCUGCGCAGCGGAGAAGUAGUGAGAAACAAUCAGAGUACAGGGUAUUUUAAUCUUUAGGGGAUCAAGAUGUCAGAUGCAAACAAAGCUGCCAUUGCAGCAGAAAAGGAAGCUCUGAACUUGAAGUUACCCCCCAUUGUCCAUCUCCCAGAAAACAUAGGCGUUGAUACACCAACACAAAGUAAGCUGCUAAAAUACAGAAGAUCCAAGGAGCAGCAGCAGAAAAUUAAUCAGUUAGUAAUUGAUGGAGCCAAAAGAAAUUUAGACAGAACACUGGAUAAAAGAACACCUCUAUUACCACCACCUGAUUAUCCUCAAACUAUGACCAGUGAAAUGAAAAAAAAAGGGUUCAACUAUAUUUAUAUGAAGCAAUGUGUAGAAAGUAGUCCUAUAGUACCUAUUCAGCAGGAAUGGCUGGAUCACAUGUUAAGGCUGAUACCUGAGUCUCUAAAGGAAGGGAAAGAAAGAGAAGAACUUCUUGAAAGUCUCAUAAAUGAGGUGUCAAGUGACUUUGAAAACAGCAUGAGGAGAUAUUUGGUGCAGAGCGUUCUUGUGAAACCACCAGUUAAAUGGCUUGAAGAUGAAGGAGGUCCUUUACCUGAAUCUCCUGUAGGCCUAGAUUAUUCUAAUCCUUGGCAUUCUAGCUAUGUGCAGGCAAGAAAUCAAAUAUUCUCUAAUUUGCACAUUAUUCAUCCAACUAUGAAAAUGUUACUGGACCUUGGUUAUACAACAUUUGCUGAUACAGUUUUGUUGGACUUCACAGGAAUUAGAGCUAAAGGUCCAAUUGACUGUGAAUCACUGAAAACUGAUCUAUCAAUACAAACUAGAAAAGCAGAAGAGAAGAUAAUGAAUACGUGGUAUCCAAAGGUUAUAAAUCUCUUUACCAAGAAGGAGGCACUAGAAGGUGUUAAACCUGAAAAAUUGGAUGCAUUUUAUAGCUGUGUUUCCACACUUAUGUCAAAUCAGCUAAAGGAUCUAUUAAGGAGAACUGUAGAAGGAUUUGUAAAACUCUUUGACCCAAAAGAUCAACAAAGGCUGCCAAUAUUUAAGAUAGAAUUGACAUUUGAUGAUGACAAAAUGGAAUUUUAUCCUACCUUUCAAGAUUUGGAAGAUAAUGUUUUGAGUUUGGUAGAACGAAUAGCCGAAGCUCUGCAGAAUGUCCAGACCGUCCCCUCUUGGCUAUCAGGAACUUCAACACCAGUAAAUCUUGACACAGAACUUCCUGAACACGUGUUACACUGGGCUGUUGAUACACUGAAGGCAGCAGUACAUCGGAACUUAGAAGGUGCAAGAAAGCAUUAUGAGACAUAUGUUGAAAAAUAUAAUUGGCUCUUUGAUGGGACUGCAGUUGAGAAUAUAGAGACUUUUCAGACAGAAGAUCAUACUUUUGAUGAAUAUACAAAG
This 1517-nucleotide small RNA is filed under the name Pongo abelii (Sumatran orangutan). Its description in RNAcentral is "processed transcript". The record is from RNAcentral. Lineage: Eukaryota; Metazoa; Chordata; Mammalia; Primates; Hominidae.